AGGGCCCAGCGUCACUGAACCUGGUUGUAUAUUAAACAAAAAGGGCUCUCAGCCGUGCUUGUAGCUGCUUCCAUUGCUUCACACUGACUCAACAGACACGAUGACAUGCAGACAGAGUGACGAUCCUGGAAGAUCCCAGUCCUGCAGCUCUUCCUAGCCUGUGUGCAUUGUAAUCUCUCUGAAGGCAAUAGGAUCGCAUUCGUGCAGCUUCAGGCCCUCAGAUGUGCAGUCAUAGUCUGAUUCAGGAGACUUCUGUACUUGCUGUAUGAAAAUGGUUAUGUUCGCCAUCCAUCAUCAAAAUAGAAGUCACAACACAAGAAAGAUGUCACCUAGGUUAGACUUGCCUUGUCAGUCUAAUCACACUGUCCGUGUUAGGACACUGCUGA
Molecule: long non-coding RNA, 386 nt
Organism: Mauremys mutica (yellowpond turtle)
Lineage: Eukaryota; Metazoa; Chordata; Testudines; Geoemydidae
Exons: 3
Source: RefSeq, a predicted model, not a curated record